CAGUAGCCGCGGUAAUACGAAGGGUGCAAGCGUUACUCGGAAUUACUGGGCGUAAAGCGUGCGUAGGUGGUGGUUUAAGUCCGUUGUGAAAGCCCUGGGCUCAACCUGGGAAUUGCAGUGGAUACUGGGUCACUAGAGUGUGGUAGAGGAUAGUGGAAUUUCCGGUGUAGCAGUGAAAUGCGUAGAGAUCGGAAGGAACAUCUGUGGCGAAGGCGACUAUCUGGGCCAACACUGACACUGAGGCACGAAAGCGUGGGGAGCAAACAGGAUUAGAGACCCGUGUAGUCCCUGUCUCUUAUAC
Molecule: ribosomal RNA, 301 nt
Filed under: uncultured bacterium
Lineage: Bacteria
Description: partial 16S ribosomal RNA
Rfam family: Bacterial small subunit ribosomal RNA
Source: RNAcentral